GAUGAACGCUGGCGGCGUGCCUAAUACAUGCAAGUCGAGCGAACGGACGAGAAGCUUGCUUCUCUGAUGUUAGCGGCGGACGGGUGAGUAACACGUGGAUAACCUACCUAUAAGACUGGGAUAACUUCGGGAAACCGGAGCUAAUACCGGAUGAUAUUUUGAACCGCAUGGUUCAAAAGUGAAAGACGGUCUUGCUGUCACUUAUAGAUGGAUCCGCGCUGCAUUAGCUAGUUGGUAAGGUAACGGCUUACCAAGGCAACGAUGCAUAGCCGACCUGAGAGGGUGAUCGGCCACACUGGAACUGAGACACGGUCCAGACUCCUACGGGAGGCAGCAGUAGGGAAUCUUCCGCAAUGGGCGAAAGCCUGACGGAGCAACGCCGCGUGAGUGAUGAAGGUCUUCGGAUCGUAAAACUCUGUUAUUAGGGAAGAACAUAUGCGUAAGUAACUGUGCACAUCUUGACGGUACCUAAUCAGAAAGCCACGGCUAACUACGUG
RNAcentral lists this ribosomal RNA (497 nucleotides) under uncultured bacterium. RNAcentral describes it as "partial 16S ribosomal RNA". It matches the Rfam family "Bacterial small subunit ribosomal RNA", at positions 28 to 507 of the family's 1533-position model. The record is from RNAcentral.